AUACGUAGGGUGCAAGCGUUAAUCGGAAUUACUGGGCGCAAAGCGUGCGCAGGCGGUUUUGUAAGACAGUGGUGAAAUCCCCGGGCUCAACCUGGGAACUGCCAUUGUGACUGCAAGGCUGGAGUGCGGCAGAGGGGGAUGGAAUUCCGCGUGUAGCAGUGAAAUGCGUAGAUAUGCGGAGGAACACCGAUGGCGAAGGCAAUCCCCUGGGCCUGCACUGACGCUCAUGCACGAAAGCGUGGGGAGCAAACAGGAUUAGAUACCCUGGUAGUCCACGCCCUAAACGAUGUCAACUGGUUGUUGGGGAUUUAUUUUCUCAGUAACGAAGCUAACGCGUGAAGUUGACCGCCUGGGGAGUACGGCCGCAAGGUUAAAACUCAAAUGAAUUGACGGGG
RNAcentral lists this ribosomal RNA (395 nucleotides) under uncultured bacterium. RNAcentral describes it as "partial 16S ribosomal RNA". It matches the Rfam family "Bacterial small subunit ribosomal RNA", at positions 523 to 918 of the family's 1533-position model. The record is from RNAcentral.